UGAACGACUCUCGGCAACGGAUAUCUCGGCUCUCGCAUCGAUGAAGAACGUAGCGAAAUGCGAUACUUGGUGUGAAUUGCAGAAUCCCGUGAACCAUUGAGUUUUUGAACGCAAGUUGCGCCCGAGGCCAUUCGGUCGAGGGCACGUCUGCCUGGGCGUCACGC
RNAcentral lists this ribosomal RNA (164 nucleotides) under Tinospora sinensis. RNAcentral describes it as "5.8S ribosomal RNA". It matches the Rfam family "5.8S ribosomal RNA". From Rfam's summary of the family: 5.8S ribosomal RNA (5.8S rRNA) is a component of the large subunit of the eukaryotic ribosome. Lineage: Eukaryota; Viridiplantae; Streptophyta; Magnoliopsida; Ranunculales; Menispermaceae. The record is from RNAcentral. RNAcentral also lists the same sequence under 2 other names.